This 274-nucleotide long non-coding RNA is filed under the name Sorghum bicolor (sorghum). RNAcentral's name for it is "long non-coding RNA (SBIC_LNC007781)". The record is from RNAcentral. Lineage: Eukaryota; Viridiplantae; Streptophyta; Magnoliopsida; Poales; Poaceae.
GCAGGGAACGAGUUACCCUUCCUGGGCGCCUCGGUUGCGUGUUAAAUAGCUGGGAACAGCCCCCAGCGUGGCAUAUACAACAGAUAGAGAUUACAUGAUCAACUUGCUAUACAAGUCUCUUGGAGUACAAGGCUAUCUACUCUAUCUUUAUCCAAUACAACAACCUGCACGUCUACAACCGAAACCACCCAAAUACAAGGAGAGUUAAGCCUGAACUAAACAUAUAGUUUAACAAGGAGAAGUCGUAGGAAACGAGAGAUACUCUCAACCAAUC